ACCCCGGCGCGCGCCCGGCACACAGUAGGCGCGCGGCCCCGCCCCCCGGCGCGCGCCCGGCACACAGUAGGCGCGCGGGCGGCGGGCGGAAGGGGGCGCUGGCGCGCGGUAUCCGGGGGCGGAGCCGGCGCGGCCGGCCAGGCGGACGGGCGCGGGCCUCGGGGCCGCGAUGGGCGAGGGUGGGCUGCCCCCGGCCUUCCAGCUGCUGCUGCGCGCCUGCGACCAGGGCGACACGGAGACGGCGCGGCGGCUGCUGGAGCCGGGGGCGGCGGAGCCGGCGGAGCGUGGCGCGGAGCCCGAAGCGGGCGCAGAGCCGGCGGGGGCCGAGGCGGCCGGGCCCGGGGCGGCGGCGGCGGCGGCCGGAGCGCCCGUGCCUGUGGACUGCUCAGACGAGGCGGGCAACACGGCGCUGCAGUUCGCCGCGGCCGGGGGCCACGAGCCGCUGGUGCGCUUCUUGUUGCGCCGCGGCGCCUCGGUCAACAGCCGCAACCACUACGGCUGGAGCGCGCUCAUGCAGGCAGCCAGAUUUGGGCACGUGAGCGUGACACACCUCCUUUUGGAUCAUGGAGCUGAUAUCAAUGCCCAGAACCGUCUAGGGGCCAGCGUGCUCACUGUGGCCUCUCGGGGUGGCCACCUGGGUGUGGUGAAGCUGCUUCUGGAAGCUGGUGCCUUUGUGGACCAUCACAGCUCCUCAGGCGAGCAGUCAGGGGACAGCAGGGAUGAGCUGUUGGACAUCACAGCCCUGAUGGCUGCCAUCCAGCAUGGGCAUGAGGCUGUGGUGCGUCUGCUGAUGGAGUGGGGCGCGGACCCCAACCACGUGGCCCGAACCGUGGGCUGGAGCCCACUGAUGCUGUCAGCACUCACUGGGAGGCUCGGCAUGGCUCAGCAGCUGGUGGAGAAGGGGGCCAACCCUGACUACCUCAGCGUGUUAGAGAAGACUGCCUUCGAGGUUGCACUUGACUGCAAGCACAGGGACCUUGCAGACUACCUGGACCCACUGACCACUGUCAGGCCCAAGACAGAUGAGGAGAAAAGGCGGCCUGAUAUUUUCCACGCGUUGAAAAUGGGAAACUUCCAGCUGGUCAAAGAGAUCGCAGACGAAGACCCUAACUAUGUGAACUUGGUCAAUGGGGAUGGGGCAACCCCGCUGAUGCUGGCGGCCGUCACGGGGCAGCUGCCUCUGGUGCAGCUGCUGGUGGAGAGGCGCGCUGACAUCGACAAGCAAGACAGCGUGCAUGGCUGGACAGCCCUCAUGCAGGCCACCUACCAUGGGAAUAAGGAAGUUGUCAAAUACCUGCUAAACCAAGGAGCUGAUGUCACUCUUCGUGCAAAAAACGGGUACACGGCCUUUGACCUAGUGAUGCUGCUGAGUGACCCUGACACGGAACUUGUUCGACUGCUGGCAUCUGUCUGCAUGCAGGUGAAUAAAGACAAAGGCCGGCCCAGCCACCCACCACCUCUGCCCCACUCGAAGGUCCGACAGCCUUGGAGUGUCCCAGUGCUGCCCGAUGACAAAGGCGGGCUCAAGUCCUGGUGGAACCGAAUGUCCAAUCGGUUCCGGAAGCUCAAACUGAUGCAGACCCUGCCCCGCAGGCUCUCCAGCAACCAGCCAUUGCCUUUCUGUGAUGAACCAGACUCAGCGCUGGACUCCACAAUGAGGGCGGCCCCCCAGGACAAGACAAGCCGCUUGGGGCUUCAUGAUGUAGCCCCCACAGUGAAAGAUAAUGGUCCCGGGAGCAUGAGAGGAGACAAAGAAGAUGUGUUAUUGACAACCAUGCUUCGAAAUGGAGCCCCCUUCCCCAGACUCCCGAGUGACAAGCUGAAGGCAGUCAUCCCCCCUUUCUUACCCCCUUCCAGUUUUGAGCUGUGGAGCUCGGACCGGUCCCGGACAUGUCACAGUGGGAAGGCAGAACCCAUGAAGACUGUGCUGCCCCAGAGAGCUGGCCGGGGUGCCCCCGUGGGCAUGGGCGGUGGGAGCACAGAUGCUACUCCUGUCAGGCCGGUUAAAUUUCCAUCUCUCUCCAGAAGCCCCGCCUCUCCUGCCAAUUCCGGAAACUUCAACCACUCACCUCAUUCCUCAGGCGGCUCCAGUGGGGUCGGGGGCUCCAGCAGGCAUGGUGGGGAGCUGCAUAACCGCUCAGGUGGCAGCAUAGACAGUGUCCUGUCACAAAUUGCUGCCCAGAGGAAAAAGGCAGCCGGAUUAUCUGAGCAGAAGGCCAGCCACCGGUCAAGUCCUGUUGGGCCAGCGCCAGGGUCCGGCUCAUCUGAGCUCCCAGUCUCUCCUGCAGGCAGCGGCGGUCCCAGUGGCAAGCAGAAACUGGAGACGAGCAAACGGCCUUUGUCUGGAACUUCCACUACCUCCAAAAGCACCUCCCCCACACUCACGCCCUCCCCUUCGCCCAAAGGGCACGCGGCCGAGUCCUCUGUGUCCUCCUCGCCCCAUCGGCAGUCCAAGAGCAGUGGGGGCUCCAGCAGCGGCACCAUCACAGAUGAAGAUGAACUGACUGGAAUCCUUAAGAAAUUAUCACUUGAGAAGUAUCAGCCCAUUUUUGAGGAGCAAGAGGUGGAUAUGGAAGCAUUCCUCACGCUUACCGAUGGCGACUUGAAGGAGCUGGGUAUUAAGACAGAUGGGUCCAGGCAGCAGAUUUUGGCAGCAAUUUCUGAACUGAAUGCAGGCAAGGAGAAAGAAGAGGGGAGCUCAUCACCUGGCUGGUUUUCCAUCCCUCUCCUGUCAGUCUGCUCAUCUCCACCUUGUCAUCAGUGUGAAAGGUCCGUGACCACCCUGGGGUCUUCGACACUCCCAUGUGCACAGGUACACCCAGUUUUCUGUCCCCUUCAUCAGAGGGUAGAGAUGGGUGGAGGGUCUCUGGCCAGCGUCUCCAGAGCCUAUUACAGAAAACCCUCAUGAAUGAGGCAGACCACCCCUGUCCCUCGUCCUGGCUCUAGGGAAGCAAGCCCCUUUGGAAGGCGGGGACCUUCUCCAGGCGCCAGGUCACCUCAUCUGCUCCAGGCUGCUUGCCCCUUCUCCGGCUCUCAUUUCUUUUCCCCAAGGGUCUCAGAGCUUCUCUGCUUCACGUGCUCACAGCUCUUUCAGUUGAAUAAUUGUGUCUACUUUCCUCACAAUCAGAAACACUCCCUUUGAGUCGCAGAUGGGUGUUUUCAGAAGCCCUUCUGCGUUGGCAUGGACACCCACUGGAUGAAGGACUUCUUCAGCUGUUGAGUUGAUGCCUCCGAGGGACCCAGGCCCGUGAGCUCCCACUUAUCCCACUGCAGCACCCACCAGCCCUGCGCCCCAACCUCCCUCUGCCCAGUCCCACAUGCCCCUGCCCUGCCACCAGGGGUCCUCCCAAGACAGCCCCUAAACCACACACCACAGGCUAAUCUCCACUCAGAGUCUGCUCCCAGACUGCGAGCAGGGACUUUAUAAAUGGGGGAGGCCUUGUGUGUGUGGAGGGGAACCUCAGCCACGAAGAAGGAUGUCAGCACUGUCACUGCCGCUUCUGUAGGUUGGCUUCAUCUGUGAGGUGACCUCAGGGCAAACUGAUUUUAAUAACUUCUCACAAGGGACAGUGAUUAAGAACCUGAAUCAGAAUCCUCUGAGAGAAUGCCCCCCCAGGGCAGCUGGGGCCACAGGCUGGGGUGGGGGAUGGGGGGGGUAGUGUGGGUGGUGGGAGUCUUAGGUAAGCAAAGCUCUGUUUCCUCCUUGUUGGAAUGAGAGCUGACACGCUCCCUCGGCAGACACUGAUGGAACACCGUCACAGGCACCGGGGAUGCACUGAGGGGGGCAAAGCAAAGUCGCCGCCUUCGCGGAGUUUAUGAUCCACGAGGGGUGAUAAAAAUCCUGGCUCUCAGGGCACUGUGAGGAUUAACUGAGCUGUUCCAAGUCAAGUGCUCAGCACAGUGCCUGGCACAGGGUGAGUGCUCAAGGGGCAGCAGCCACUUGUAAGUGUUCAUCUUUCUUUCUGUUCCUUGGGGGUCAGGGUGCAGGGAGCCUUGCAGCAGCCACAGUGCGGGGAAUAUUGUGCUCCUGCCACAUGAACGUACCCUGAGCGGUUAGCUGUCAGAGGAGCUGGCUUAGGGACCUGCAACAAGGGCCUGGGAUGCACCCAACCAAAUGAAUUGCAGGCAUGAAUGGAAAACAUUUGUUUAUUGCCAAGCAGUGAACUUAGUGCACAUAAUUGAGUUUACGAUCUGCAAUUACAUAAGGAAGAAUACAGAACAAAGAAUUGGACACAAAAGCACAAGGUGCAGACUGUGUUCUUUAGACCUGUGUAAUAGCUCUACUUUGAUCCACGUUCUACCGUGUGCUUGUAUAUGGAUCACUGAGCAUUCCUAGGUCACCUUGCCUUUUUUAAUUUAAGUUUAUUUUUCUUUUUAAAGAACUGCAUAAGUCAUUAUCAAUGAGUAUAUUCUGAUGUGCAAGAUGUGACACAUUUACAGUUUUACAUCCUCUAUUGAGAGCCCUAAGAUCGGGUAUAGCUUUCACCAGAGCUCUGGGGGGGUUCCAGGAUACAGAGCCCUGGGCCUGGGGGGCCUGGGGAGUCCUUCUCCUGAUGGAAAUCUCCCACCUUGGAAAACUCUCCAGAUGGGCUCCUGCUGAUGCUCCCAGUGAACUCUCCAAACUUCCUGAGUUUUUGGGCUUAUAACUGGAGGCCUAUGGCCAUGGCUGUCUAUAUGGUUGACUGGUAGUAACACUUGGAUGGUGUUUUCUUGGAAGCUACAGCCUUGCUACUCAAAGUCUGGUCCUUGGACCAGUAGGCUUGACAUCCUUUGGAUGCUGGUGAGAAAUUCAGGUGUGCCCCACAUUACUGAGCCCAAACCUGAUCUUCACAAGGCCCCCCAGGGGAUGUGUGCACGUGCUGUAGUGUGAGAGAGGGCGCUCUCCAAGUACCCUUCCAUGCAUUAAUUUCGUGCACAACAUUUGCAUGAACGCUGAGACGCUGUCAUCUUUUACACAGAGAGGGAAACUGGCUCCAACAAGCAAAAUGAUCCGCCCAAGGUCACAUGAUGUUUAGAGUAGAACCCAGGCUUCUCACACCUACUGAAUCCAGCUCUUUGGCAGCUUCCCAGGUGUGAUCUGAAAUGGGCCCUGUAUGUGGAGGGCAGGGAGAGGAAGGAAGGAAGAGGAAGAGGCAGACCCCUCCAGAUGGGCGGUGUUUUCCAGGUUCCUUGUCCGCUGGCUCCACUAAGAGGCACUGACAGGAAGUUGGAGGACAGAAGGGAGAAACCAGGGUAUCUCUCGUCCUCUCCUCAGCCGCAGGUGGCAUCUCCAAGCAGCAGCUGUGCCUCCUUCCAAGGGACCAGGACUGGCGAGUUAUGACUCCAGAUUUACCAGAUAACCCCUCCCCUCUCUGGUCCUCCUAUAGCACUUCUGCACUGUUGCUAAUUUCUGGCUGCUUCACUGUCCCCAUGUAGCUUCUCAGCCUUUCCAUUCUCCAAGUAACCAAUUCCCUGCAUGCAAGUCCCUGUGUUUUAAACACUCAAGCUGAUUCUGUUGCCUGGUUAGACUGAUUCACAUCCCAGGAUCCGCGCAGUCCCAAAUCCUAGGUAUGCACUUUAGAGCCACUCCCCUGCAGGUGCACAAGGAGAGAUGUCUGAGAAUGUCUGUCUACAGUGUUUGUGAAAACGGAGAGGUGGAGGGGGCGUGGCCACCCCUUGCCAGAGGGACAGAUAUUGUACAAGGUUCGGGACACAGAAACUGGAAGUAGAGGUCUAGAACGGAGGAGCCUGCAGGAACACGCAGCCACCCAAUGCCAGAAUGAGUCACAGUCCACUCAAGAGGCUUCCCGCAGUGCACUUGGAGCGGGUAUGAGCAGAUGAAGAAAGGAAUGAAGAACUUUCUCACCUCUGGGCCUAUGACAGAGGCACACCAGACGUAUUGGUGGAGAAUGACCAGCAAACAGAAAUAGUGGGGUGAGCAGAAUUACAAGGGAAAGGAGAGAUGAGGAGAAUUUCAGGGAGCACCUAGGUGCAUUCAGUGAGCCCAUGGAGUGCCUGUGAGGGCAGGGCGGGAAACUGUGGAUGGGAUCCAGGCAGAGCAACUAAGCAUCCUUUGGGAGAUGAGUGAAAGGGAGUGCAGAGAGCGGGGGAUACAACCGAGUCUGGGAGUCCUGAGAGGCUAAAAGGGUGAGGUCAGUAACAUGGAAUUUGGGUGUUGACCCUCAGUGGCUUUCUAGAAGUCCUGGUUUUACAAAUGCUGUGUGAUCACACAGAGAAGAGAGGGAUGGAUGGUCCCUAGGCGUGGAUGUGGGUUCACCACCAACCAGCCCAGCCACACUCACCCGUAAUCGUGGCUACUAAUCUGGAUGCCCUUAACAGUCUGGAACAUGGGGACAUAAUCACGAGUGAAAUGUUUUGGCCCUGUUCACAGGCCCCUGCGUUAAACUGCUGGUCAGCAGGCUCAGGGAGAUCUGGCUUGCUGUUCAUCUGAAACAGCACAACAAGUCCACAGAGAGCAAACCUGGGGCUCUUAGAGGACCAGAGUGUGAUGUGGCUGCCGGCAAAAUGCGGGUGGCCCCAGACUGCAAGGACAGCAGCCCAGAGGCCUGAACACAGAGGGAUGCUCCUGUUAUUCUGUGUGCUUCUUGGUCCAUAUGGAGGGCUUGUGGUCAGUUCUGGACAUCACUCAAAGAAAACCAUGAGCAGACUAGUGGCCAGGGAAAGUUGAGGAACCUGGAGACAUCCCUCUGAGGAAGAGGUGACUUGGUUGGGGGUGGUACGCAGCAUUACUUGUGAGCUGUCUUUGGUGAAGGACACCAUGGAUGAGGGAGAGACUCCAGCAGCAGACUGGGAUCCAGAGUGAAUGCCACAGCAAGGCUGACUUUGGUGGAGCACACAACCGCCAUCGACCGAAUAACAGCAUGGGAGCCUCAGGAAGCACUGAUCUUGCCACUGAUCUGCUGGUAUUAUUACUAUAAUUGUUAUUAGUUGCAUGCCUAACAAGAGCUAAGUACUGUGUUAAGUACCUUCCAUGCACGUAUGCAUUAUCUUACUAAGGGAGUUAAUGAUAUGAAAAGUGCUCAGAACAGCGCCUGGCACACGUGAGUACUCGAAGUACAUUCGCUGUUGUAAUUAUUUAAUCUUCACAAUAAACUUGCUGUGAAAGAGGAAUUGUUUAUUCUCACUUCACAGACAAGGAAACUGAAGGUCAGGAGAGUGAGUGACUCCCCCACAGUUGCACCACUAAUGACUGGUAAGCCAGACUUUGAGCCCAGGACUACCUGCUUCCUAAAGUUUGAUGAGUGGUUAGACCAGAAACUUUCCCGUCUGGCCAAGGUUCUGUUCCUAAACUGUACCUCUUGUUCAUUGAUAACCCCCUUUGUAAAGGAUCUUAUUGUUUGUGAAACCUGUAAAUGAGGGGGGCUUUUGGCCCCCUCGCCAGUCUGUGUCCUUUUGGAGAUGCUCAGUUAUGACUAAACUGCCUGCCUACGUCUGCUCGGGGCUUGUCCAGCCUAUAUGGAACAAGCCGAUAUGUCCGUCCUUCCUCUGUUGUCAAACCGACAAAGAACACGGGUGGAAGGAGUGGCUCUGGGCUCUUCUGGUCGACCCCAGGUUCGGCCUCAACUCCAGAAGGGUUUAGUCAUAGACUCUCCCCAGGCCAGAUGCUCUCCCCUGACACCUCAGGAGGAGGGCCAGCUUCAUCUCUGUUUUGGUGAGGGACCCUGGCCAAGUCAUUUUACAUUUUCCUGAUGUUGAGCCUCAGGGGCAUUCUUUAGUUCUUUAAGACUAUUAACUUCUCAGUCAUAGAAGGGCAUCUUCAAGGAGAGGCAUGUGGAGUAGAGAAAUGUGCAGGAGUUUGGGGUCAGACAGACCGGGUUUGGGCUCUGUCACUGUCUCUGCCAAGUAUCAUUAAGCAUGGUAUUUAAUCCAUCUGGACUUUAGUCUUGUAAUUUGUGAAACUGGGAUCCUAACACCUAUUUUUCAGACAGUUGUGAAGAUUAAGAUGAUGCAUACCAAGGUGUCUGGCACAGAGUAGGUAGGUGUUUAAUAAAUGGCAGCUAUUAUUAUUACUCGAACUGUGUCACCAGACCACAUUUGAUGCCUGAAACCCAAUUUUACGGUUUAAAAAACAUGCCUUGUGAGAAGAGAAAAGCGACUUAGAUUCAUUCAGCUAAUCUUUUUUGGAGCCAUCAUUCAUAACUUAUCCAUUAAAAAAAAGAACUGAAAACAAACAAUGUAUUUAAACAAAAAACCAGCUGAGCUACUUGGUUGAAAGAAGCACUUCAAUGUAAACACGAAUAGGAAAUACGUGGGGGAAAGAGAAGAAAUACAUGAGAGAUGUUUGUAAGAUGGCUUAUGGUUUUGGGGGGUUUUUGGUUUUGUUUGAAGAAAAAAGUACAAGAACUCCCUGCUGUUGGAGCAAGAGCAGAGGCAGACAUGGAUGAUGGGAUCGAUUGGGAACAGGGUGUUGGAAACUGGAGCCAGUCCCUGGGAGGAGACAGCUGCCACAUGGCAGAUCCCUGCCGCUGGCACCGGCGUGGCAAGGGGUGUCCAGCCCUGCCUGGAAAAAGGACAGACAGCAGGGGGAAGCCUGGUUAUCCUCCCAGGGUCGGGAUCCUGCUCAAAGACAGCCAGAUGGACCCUGGAGUCCCCAACAUCCUCUGAAAGAGAAUGGGCAUCAUCUUUCAAAGCAGCCCCAGCCUCUAAGCCAGGGUUUGGAUACUGGCUUCUGGUUCUUGUGUGCAGGGAGAGGGCGUGGGAGAAAGUAUUGCUAAGAUGAGAAUUUAAGCCACACAGACCUGGGCUGACGCUUUCUUAAGUCUUUACUGAGUCCCUUGUAAGGUAGAUGAGCC
Molecule: RNA transcript, 8792 nt
Organism: Acinonyx jubatus (cheetah)
Lineage: Eukaryota; Metazoa; Chordata; Mammalia; Carnivora; Felidae
Gene: ANKS6
Gene name: ankyrin repeat and sterile alpha motif domain containing 6
Exons: 18
Source: RefSeq, a predicted model, not a curated record